This 421-nucleotide ribosomal RNA is filed under the name uncultured cyanobacterium. RNAcentral describes it as "bacterial SSU rRNA". It matches the Rfam family "Bacterial small subunit ribosomal RNA", at positions 359 to 795 of the family's 1533-position model. The record is from RNAcentral. Lineage: Bacteria; Bacillati; Cyanobacteriota.
GAAUUUUCCGCAAUGGGCGAAAGCCUGACGGAGCAAUACCGCGUGAGGGAUGAAGGCCUCUGGGCUGUAAACCUCUUUUCUCAAGGAAGAAGACCUGACGGUACUUGAGGAAUAAGCCACGGCUAAUUCCGUGCCAGCAGCCGCGGUAAUACGGGAGUGGCAAGCGUUAUCCGGAAUUAUUGGGCGUAAAGCGUCCGCAGGCGGCCUUGUAAGUCUGUUGUUAAAGCGUGGAGCUCAACUCCAUUUGAGCAAUGGAAACUACAAGGCUUGAGUGUGGUAGGGGCAGAGGGAAUUCCCGGUGUAGCGGUGAAAUGCGUAGAUAUCGGGAAGAACACCAGUGGCGAAGGCGCUCUGCUGGGCCAUAACUGACGCUCAUGGACGAAAGCCAGGGGAGCGAAAGGGAUUAGAUACCCCUGUAGUC